GACGAACGCUGGCGGCGUGCUUAACACAUGCAAGUCGAACGGAAAGGCCUGCUUUCCCUUGUGGAUUGCGGGUACUCGAGUGGCGAACGGGUGAGUAACACGUGAGUGAUCUGCCCCCAACUUGGGUAUAAGCCUGGGAAACUGGGUCUAAUUCCCGAUAGGACUGCAGGGUGGUGCCUGUGGUGGAAAACGAUUUUCUAGUGGUUGGGGAUGAGCUCGCGGCCUAUCAGCUUGUUGGUGGGGUAAUGGCCUACCGAGGCGGCGACGGGUAGCCGGCCUGAGAGGGUGGACGGCCACAUUGGGACUGAGAUACGGCCCAGACUCCUACGGGAGGCAGCAGUGGGGAAUAUUACACAAUGGGCGGAAGCCUGAUGCAGCGACGCCGCGUGGGGGAUGACGGCCUUCGGGUUGUAAACUCCUUUCGACCGCGAGGAAGCCACCUGGUUGGAAGGGUGGUGACGGUAGUGGUAGAAGAAGCACCGGCUAACUACGUG
RNAcentral lists this ribosomal RNA (494 nucleotides) under uncultured bacterium. RNAcentral describes it as "partial 16S ribosomal RNA". It matches the Rfam family "Bacterial small subunit ribosomal RNA", at positions 28 to 507 of the family's 1533-position model. The record is from RNAcentral.